AGAAAAGCUAAUUUGCAAGACCUUGCUGCUCUAACCGGUGGCACUGUGAUAAGUGAAGAACUUGGCUUGCAUCUUGACAAAAUAGAACCAGACAUGUUUGGCGCGUGUAAAAAGGUUACAGUUUCGAAGGAUGACACUGUUAUCCUUGAUGGGGCUGGUGACAAGAAGGCCAUCGAAGAAAGGUGUGAACAGAUAAGAUCUGCAAUGGAAUUAAGCACCUCUGACUAUGAUAAAGAGAAGUUGCAAGAACGAUUGGCAAAGCUUUCCGGUGGUGUUGCUGUCCUAAAGAUUGGAGGGGCUAGUGAAGCAGAGGUUGGUGAGAAGAAGGAUAGAGUCACUGAUGCUUUGAA
This 350-nucleotide unclassified non-coding RNA is filed under the name Hevea brasiliensis (rubber tree). The record is from RNAcentral. Lineage: Eukaryota; Viridiplantae; Streptophyta; Magnoliopsida; Malpighiales; Euphorbiaceae.